This is a non-coding RNA of Equus caballus (horse), 664 nucleotides long. The record is from the annotation of a RefSeq genome assembly. Lineage: Eukaryota; Metazoa; Chordata; Mammalia; Perissodactyla; Equidae.
CAGCUUUCUCCUAAGAUGAGGCUGAGGUCUCUGGGGAAGGCAGAGUGUAGUCUAGAAGAAGAUGAGGCUGUUGGGUCUUCUCCUUUGCCUGGUGACGGCUCCCCAAGGUGUCCUGUCCCAGGUGCAGCUGAAGGAGUCGGGCCCAGGACAGGUGAAGCCCUCACAGACCCUCUCCCUCACCUGCACUGUCACUGGAGGCUCCAUCACAAGCAGGUAUUAUGGCUGGAGCUGGAUCCGCCAGACCCCAGGGAAGGGGCUGGAGUACAUUGGGAGCAUAGCUUAUAGUGGUAGCACUUACUACAGCCCAUCCUUCAAGAGCCGCGCCUCCAUCUCCAGAGACACGUCCAAGAACCAGUUCUCCCUGCAGCUGAGCUCCGUGACCACCGAGGACACGGCCGUUUAUUACUGUGCAAGUGACACAUCAAAGUGCCAGGAGUCAGCCCCAGGGCAGGUGAAGCCCUCAGAGACCACGUCCUCAGCCUGCAUUCUCUCUGGUAACUUUGUCACCAGUGAUGAAUCCUGGUGCUGGGUCCACCAGCCUCCAGGGAAGGGGCUGGAAUGGCUUGGGCAUGGUCACUAUAGGGCAUCAUCAUGGAACACAGACUACAACCCAUGCAUCAAGGACCGCAUCUCCAUCACUGCUGACAUCACUUCCAAGAAAUAG